UCAUUCAGAAAAUGACCUCCAUGCAGAAAUAUUAUAUCAAAAGUCAUUCCAAUUGAGAGAGAUUUGAUGGUAGGAUUACUAUGGCAGGGAGGAUGUGGGUAUUCAUGCGUUUCUAUAUUAACCACAAGAUUAUAAUUCUAGUUCUCAAAUUGCAUGGAUACCUGCCAGGUGACAGAGGAUGGAAUUGACUGCUGGACUGAACCAACAACCCCACUGAUAUCCUACAAACAUUCAAGAGCCAGGGGCAGGACUCGUGGUAGCAUGAUCAGCUGCAUUACCUCCUAGAGCAUAACCCAAAUGGACCAGAUGCUGCUUGAAUGAUAUUGUGCUCGGUAUAUACUUCUGAUGCUUUGGUAUGCCCUUUUUCCCCUGUAUUCCCGGUCGGGGUCAAAAGCACUGCAUUUCAAGCAGCCUUUCCCAUCAUUGUGUGCCUCCACCUUUCCACCCUUCCUGCAGAGAGGCUACUGUACCGCACUGCAAUGCCUGUGCUCUUGAAGAGACGAUGGACCACCUUGCUGUAGCCAAUGCCAUUUAAUACUACCAUACCCAGGUGAGUUGUGGAUUGAGCAGGAUUUCCUCUAGAUUUCCUGAAUAUUCCUUGGAAUAUUAUAUCCAAGAGAAACUAAACUACUCCCAUGACGACAACUACCACUAACAUUAAAACUACUUCUACUAGCAGUAACAAUACUAAUAAUGUAAUAAAAACCUGGGAAAUCACAGAGUCCUUAAGUAGUUUUUUUUUGUAGAAAUACAAUGUACAUAAACAUUUACAGAAUUAUAUAUUUAUAUAAAAAAAGCAACUGACCACCUCAUUUUUUUCCAGUUUUUUUUUUAUUUUUAUUGAGUGAAAAUCUCAACCCUUGCAUCAGUCAUGCAGAAAAAAAAUCAAAUAAAUAAAACACAUAUAUUAAAUUUCUAACAGCACUAAAUUCAAGUGGAAAAAUAUUCAGUUAUUAAUAACAGGUGCCGAGGGUUUAGAUUCAAGUAUUGGAGCAACCUUUUAUUUUUUUUGAAACCAUAUAAAAAAAAAUGUCUAGAGUUGUCUCCAUGUACAGAGUGUUUGUGAAUCAAGCCUUCCCCCCCCCCCCACAGAAAAAAAAAAAUACACAUUAAAAUUCAAUAUGAGCUAGAGAUGGCUUAUAGUCCUAGUGUGCAAUAUAUAUAUUACAAAGGCUAGAAUUUUCUGUUUUCUUUUUGCUACAUUGUAAUUCUCUUCCUUUUUAUUUCACUCUACAGAGGACAGACGUUUGAAUCCAGUUUUUCCUUCUUUUUUUGUUGUCAGUUAAUUAAAACAUUAAAACGAUCUGUCAUUUCAGCAGCAGACUAUGCAGGAUUUGGAGGUCGUUUCCGUCUGUUUUUUUGUUUUAAUAUAAUUUUCAUGUUUAUUUUUUCAUUCUAGAUUAUAUACAGGAUGCCAGCUGGCAGACAGAUGGUGAUGCGUUUACCCGUUUUUAUUUAAAGAAACAUCACAAGGAAAAAGAGAAAAGAAACGGACAGCUGUGGGGUAGGGGGGAGAGCACUGGGCAGUCUGAAUGCUGCUGCACACAAACCUUGCUUGAUGUUAGUCCUUCUCUAAACAACCACAUGUUCAGAUGGGUUGGGCUGGUCUCCAUUGGAGCUGGCUUGGGGUGCAUUACUGGUAAAGUCUGUUGAGAUUUCUGUAGUGGCGAUUUCCACGUCACUACAAGGGAGUGUCUAAUACCGAAAUCAUAACAAAUAUUGUUGAUUCCAAAUCUGCACGUAGCAAAUGUUCUAUUUGGAUAAUCUGCCUUGUGGGUCAGGAGAAAAAAAACAAAGUUUGAAGUGCGACUCGUCCUUGGUGAAGUAAUAAACAAAAAUGAAAAUAAAGCGUUCUGAUAAAACCUGCUGGGUAAUUUGAAUAGGCAACAAUUGCUGCUUUUAAGAGUGACUGCUGGUAGGGGGGGUUCCUCGUCUUUCACCCCUACCAGUGGGAAUGCAGUGCAAGCUGCUACCAAUUCAAACUAGUUUUCUAUGACCUGAAUAGGGCAUUGCCUGUUUCUCACCCCUGCUGUCGCACUCAGUCAGGGACGUCACGGAUGCAGGAUACUCGGCAUCCAAGCUGCUCGGAAAAAACAAAUUCUUGCAACUGAAAAAAGCCUGGGACCAUAGCUCCUAAAAGCGGUUUAAUGCUGGGAUCACAUUCCCACCUGUAUGGCAGUCAUAUUAGACUUAAACAGCCAUGGUUUUAACACAGCACGGGUGCACUAUACAGUACUUCUGUCAACCUGUGUACCGUGACAUCCCAAGACUGACACACGCUUUGCUCAUUAUUAUUAUUAUUAUUAUUAUUAUUAUUUAUUUUUUAUAUACAUAUUUAUCUAAUUUACACACGUCAUAUCUAUCCAAGUGCAUAAUAUGCGUCCCAGCUCAACAUCAUUUUCCUUUACAUUUAAUUUUUAUUUAUUUAUUUUUUUUAAUACAUUUGGAAUCUGCCAAAUAAAGUUCUGUUCUGUCAUUUCAUAGAACUGAGAGCAAAUGUUUUAAAUACUAAUACAAAAAUAAGUGUUGUGAUAGGCAGGCCAAAUAAACAAACAAAAAAGAAAAUAAAAAGCACACAAUCAUAAACAAAACACAGUAUCAAAUUAACU
Long non-coding RNA from Acipenser ruthenus (sterlet), 2609 nucleotides. RefSeq lists it as uncharacterized. Lineage: Eukaryota; Metazoa; Chordata; Actinopteri; Acipenseriformes; Acipenseridae. The transcript is spliced from 3 exons. The record is from RefSeq and is a predicted model, not a curated record.